CAAUAGCGUAUAUUAAAGUUGUUGCGGUUAAAAAGCUCGUAGUUGGAUUUCUGCCGAGGAAGAUCGGUCCGCCCUCUGGGUGUGUAUCUGUCUCAUCCUGGGCAUCCUCUUGGAGAACGUUGCUGCACUUGAUCGGGUGGCGCGGUACCCAAGACAUUUACUUUGAGGAAAUUAGAGUGUUUCAAGCAGGCUUUCGCCGUGAAUACGUUAGCAUGGAAUAAUAAUAUAGGACUUCGGUUCUAUUUUGUUGGUUUCUAGAGCUGAGGUAAUGAUUAAUAGGGAUAGUUGGGGGCAUUCGUAUUUAACUGUCAGAGGUGAAAUUCUUGGAUUUGUUAAAGGCGGACUACUGCGAAAGCAUUUGCCAAGGAUGUUUUCAUUGA
This 380-nucleotide ribosomal RNA is filed under the name uncultured eukaryote. RNAcentral's name for it is "partial 18S ribosomal RNA". It matches the Rfam family "Eukaryotic small subunit ribosomal RNA", at positions 592 to 976 of the family's 1831-position model. The record is from RNAcentral.